AGAGUUUGAUCAUGGCUCAGGACGAACGCUGGCGACGUGCCUAAUGCAUGCAAGUCGAACGCAGGGCGCUUGCGCCGCUGCGUGGCGCACGGCUGAGGAUCACGUGGGUAUCAACCCCGGAGUGGGGGAUAUCGCCGCGAAAGCGGUGGCAAGCCCGCAUACGCUCGGCAACGAGGAAAGCGGUAACGCGCUCUGGGACGAGCCUGCGGCCCAUCAGGUAGUUGGCGGGGUAAUGGCCCACCAAGCCCGUGACGGGUUCCUGGUCUGAGAGGACGACCAGGCAGACUGGGACUGAGACACGGCCCAGACUCCUACGGGAGGCAGCAGCAAGGGAUUUUCCCCAAUGGCCGCAAGGCUGAGGGAGCAACGUCGCGUGCAGGACGACGGCCUUCGGGUUGUAAACUGCUUUUGGGGGGGAAGAGCCUGACGGUACCCUCCGAAGAAGCCCCGGCUAACUCUGUGCCAGCAGCCGCGGUAAUUC
Molecule: ribosomal RNA, 481 nt
Filed under: uncultured bacterium
Lineage: Bacteria
Description: bacterial SSU rRNA
Rfam family: Bacterial small subunit ribosomal RNA
Source: RNAcentral